UCCUACGGGGGGCAGCAGUGGGGAAUAUUGCACAAUGGGCGAAAGCCUGAUGCAGCGACGCCGCGUGAAGGAUGAAGUAUUUCGGUAUGUAAACUUCUAUCAGCAGGGAAGAAAAUGACGGUACCUGACUAAGAAGCCCCGGCUAACUACGUGCCAGCAGCCGCGGUAAUACGUAGGGGGCAAGCGUUAUCCGGAUUUACUGGGUGUAAAGGGAGCGUAGACGGCGAUACAAGCCAGAUGUGAAAGCCCGGGGCUCAACCCCGGGACUGCAUUUGGAACUGUGUGGCAGGAGUGUCGGAGAGGCA
Molecule: ribosomal RNA, 305 nt
Filed under: uncultured bacterium
Lineage: Bacteria
Description: bacterial SSU rRNA
Rfam family: Bacterial small subunit ribosomal RNA
Source: RNAcentral